This 440-nucleotide ribosomal RNA is filed under the name uncultured bacterium. RNAcentral describes it as "partial 16S ribosomal RNA". It matches the Rfam family "Bacterial small subunit ribosomal RNA", at positions 338 to 795 of the family's 1533-position model. The record is from RNAcentral.
CCUACGGGUGGCAGCAGUAGGGAAUAUUGCUCAAUGGGGGAAACCCUGAAGCAGCAACGCCGCGUGAAGGAUGAAGGUUUUCGGAUUGUAAACUUCUUUUGUUAGAGAAGAUAAUGGCAGUAUCUAACGAACAAGCACCGGGCAAUACCGUGCCAGCAGGCGCGGUAAUACGGAGGGUGCAAGCGUUAAUCGGAAUCACUGGGCGUAAAGGGCGCGUAGGCGGGAUAGCAAGUCAGAUGUGAAAUCCUAUGGCUUAACCUUAGAACUGCAUUUGAAACUGUUAUUCUAGAGUAUGGGAGAGGUAGGUGGAAUUCUUGGUGUAGGGGUAAAAUGCGUAGAGAUCAAGAGGAAUACGCAUUGCGAAGGCGACCUGCUGGAACGUAACUGACGCUGAUGCGCGAAAGCGUGGGGAGCAAACAGGAUUAGAUACCCCGGUAGUC